GAUGAAGAACGUAGCGAAAUGCGAUAAGUAGUGUGAAUUGCAGAAUUCAGUGAAUCAUCGAAUCUUUGAACGCACAUUGCGCCCUUUGGUAUUCCAAAGGGCAUGCCUGUUUGAGCGUCAUUUGUACCCUCAAGCUUUGCUUGGUGUUGGGCGUCUUGUCUCUAGCUUUGCUGGAGACUCGCCUUAAAGUAAUUGGCAGCCGGCCUACUGGUUUCGGAGCGCAGCACAAGUCGCACUCUCUAUCAGCAAAGGUCUAGCAUCCACUAAGCCUUUUUUUCAACUUUUGACCUCGGAUCAGGUAGGGAUACCCGCUGAACUUAAGCAUAUCAAUAAGCGGAGGA
RNAcentral lists this unclassified non-coding RNA (341 nucleotides) under soil metagenome. RNAcentral describes it as "partial contains 5.8S ribosomal RNA, internal transcribed spacer 2, and large subunit ribosomal RNA". The stretch from base 1 to 120 matches the Rfam family "5.8S ribosomal RNA", at positions 35 to 154 of the family's 154-position model. The record is from RNAcentral.